CAUCUAAGCGUGAAGCCCCCCUCAAGAUGAGAUCUCCUAGCAGAAAUGUGAGAGACCCCUUAGAGACGAUGAGGUAGAUAGGGCAGGGGUGGAAGUGCAGCGAUGCAUGGAGCUGACUGUCACUAAUCGGUCGAAAGCUUGACCUAA
This 147-nucleotide ribosomal RNA is filed under the name Eubacterium sp. An3. Its description in RNAcentral is "partial 23S ribosomal RNA". It matches the Rfam family "Bacterial large subunit ribosomal RNA", at positions 2778 to 2925 of the family's 2925-position model. Lineage: Bacteria; Bacillati; Bacillota; Clostridia; Eubacteriales; Eubacteriaceae. The record is from RNAcentral.